UAUGCACCUCGUUAGGUGAGGCGUCUACACGAAUACAGGCCACUGACCCCGAACGUCGAAAGACGCCCCGGGUCAGGACAGCUCCUCCCGGCUUAAGGGUUGAGCCCAGGUGGCUUCCGGCUCGGAUUGUUUUCCCGGGCCAGGACACGUCGUGUGGUGCCGAAGCUCUGACGAGAGGGGUGCGGA
RNAcentral lists this small RNA (186 nucleotides) under Mycobacterium arosiense. RNAcentral's name for it is "Magnesium sequence". It matches the Rfam family "M-box riboswitch aptamer (ykoK leader)". Rfam says of the family: M-box riboswitch, also know as ykoK leader is described as a metaloregulatory RNA that sense divalent metals and function as a genetic control element of genes related to divalent metal transport in bacteria. It was first reported upstream of the B.subtilis ykoK gene and genes with related functions in other bacteria. Phylogenetic analysis of the distribution of M-box RNAs across bacterial genomes revealed that M-box riboswitches are most often employed for the regulation of Mg2+ transporter genes The record is from RNAcentral. Lineage: Bacteria; Bacillati; Actinomycetota; Actinomycetes; Mycobacteriales; Mycobacteriaceae.